CAGUGUGUUAGCACAGCAACAGAGAAUCAAAGAAGGAUGGCCCCACCUCCUGAAGGUCUCACCACCUCCCAGAACUGCCACUCUGGAGCGCAAGCCAACAAUACAGAGACUUUCGAGGGUCACUCAAACCCAGACUAAAGCAACAAUUCUAUGGCAGUGCAUAAAUAUCAUUUCUCUUUUACUGGCAGUUUUCUCUUCCAGAGGACGUCAGAAACUGUCCUGGAAAUGCAGAGACCAGGCCUUUGUAAGGAGAGGAUCUUAGAGCUCUCUCACACACACACACCCACCGCCCUGUUUUGCAGGCCCACCCCCUGCUGUCUGGUCCAUCAGGUCUGGACCACAUCCAUUUUCUGGACCCUCAUCACUCACUCCCCAUACAUACACGUAUUUUCCUUCUUUCAUUGAAAUAUUUUUUCUUUCAUGUUUAAUUAUUUGUACGAGUGUGAGCUCUUGCACAUGAGCACAGUGUUUGUGGAAGGUAGACGAGGGUACCAGAUCCACCUGUAGAGUUUGCAGGCCGGAAGCCUCUUCACGUGGGUGCUUGGGUCUGAACCUGGGUCCUUUGGAAGAGCUGUGAGUCCUCUUCAUCACUGAGCCCUCCCUAUGCCCUCACCUUUAACUUGCAAACAAUACAGACACCACCUCUGAAAGUGUGUGAAAGGGCACACCCAGCCCAGCACUCGGAACCCAGCAGAGCCCUUGCCUCGGGGUUCACCAGCUGACGUCUGGUGCCUGUGUGCAGUGUCUUGCAGUCUCCGUCACCCCCCAGGCUAUAGGCUCCCUGAAGAUGGACUGUUGUGCAGGUACAUCCUCAAGACAGCACCAUGCACACUGUGAAGGCGGCCUACAGACCUCUGUUGGCUGGGCAGCCGUGCCAUGCUGAAAGGUCGGAGCAAGCUUGUGUCAAUCAGCUCGUCUGGUCCAUUUUUUGUGAAACUGUAAAAAGUCUUUAAAAGGGUUGGCAAACUCCCCAAGAAGUUCUAAAGCUGUUGGAGACACACUGAUCCUGUCCACCAGUGCAGUAAGGGGGGAGAAAAUAGGCUACUUUUGUCUUUAAAUAUACACUGCAGCCUGACAUUCUUUGUGGAGAUUUCUAUAUAUAGAACCAUCUUAUUUAAGGCUAUGUUAGGCCAUCAAACCCCAAGUUCUCAUUUCUCUGUAUGGUGUGUCUCAACUACCAGUGGCAUGAUGCUCCCUCUUAGUCUGAUCACCCUGUGGACAAGGCUCACCUUCCCCAAGGCACACGUUCCCUCUGUGAGGCAGUAACCUUUUCAAUAUGGAGUAACUGAAUCCGAUAGCACUUCUGAGGAGCUAAAUAAGAAGACAGUUUGCUUUUCUCAAACAGUACAAGGAUGGGGACAGGGAAUGGACCUUAACUUGACCUUCAUUCAUUCUGCCCCGACACUUCACAUUUCCUAGUGGCAGGCACUUCCUUACACUCUGUGAAGCUCAGAGAGGAGUGUCUGACUUGCCUGGUGUCACUCUCCUGAGAGCAGGGGGGCAGGACUCGGCCUGGUCAGCAGGGGUAACCCCUUCUGGAGUCAGUUUCAACUGUUAAAUAUGAGUAAUGUUAGUGGAGGCAAUCCUGACCCCUCGGCUUAUUUCUGCUCCUGGACGGAAUUUAAUUGUGAGGUUCAGAGACAUCACGCCCAUCCCACUCCGGAACGAAAUGAAAACCCUGUCAAACUGGCACAGAGCUCCACACGUUCCUGACAGCCUUUGGCCCUCCUGAAUGGAAUCCGGACUCUUCUACUGCUCUCCUUCCUCAGGAAUCACUUCUGACAAGUCUUCCUCCAGCCCAGCCACAGGGUUUUGCUGACAAUAAUUUAUCCCUAAGGCCAUUGUUAGCUCAUAUGGCCCGUGUGUCAAUCAGAGAAAGAUACCGUUUCAUAUUGGUGAGUCAGGAAAGAUGAAAUAACGUUAAGGACAUCUUUUUUUAUUCAAUUUAGAAAGAAAAUCAGGGCCAGAAGGACCCUUAUCUCCCCUCAUGGCAGACCCAUACCUGUAACAUGAGAGAAGAGGCAAAUUUGACGCUCCCAAAACCUGUUGCUUAGUCUGGUUGCAAGAUGAAUCUUGUUAACAGUUUUCCUUCAGGACAAAAUCUUCCAAGCAGAGGAGCCAGGUCAACAAUCUGUGUAAGAAACAGGUCUUUUGUCCUCCAAGUGCGUGAUCUACAGGUUGCCAGCUAUUCAUUGAUUGCUUCCGUUUUAAAGUCAGUUGGUUGAUUGACAGUGAUGACGAUGCUCAUCCUGGAUUCUCGGGGAAAACAAGAGUGAAGUGCCCCAAUACUUCCUCUCUCCUUGUGUGUGAGGCCACCGAGAAGAGCACCUGCAGCCUGUCCCUGCUGCAUACCCUUGUGGAAGGGACAGAAGAAGCAAGGAAAGAGAGAUGCUUGCUGCAAAUGUCUCAGUGGUCCUCUGAAAAUGCAGUCCGGAGGCCUUCGUCCCUGGCCUUGGCUGAAUUGGUAAUGGAGCUCGUCCUCC
Molecule: non-coding RNA, 2483 nt
Organism: Myodes glareolus (Bank vole)
Lineage: Eukaryota; Metazoa; Chordata; Mammalia; Rodentia; Cricetidae
Source: RefSeq, a predicted model, not a curated record